AUCCAGCUAACGCGUCCAAAAUAGGACGAAACGCGUGUCUUAAAU
Schistosoma haematobium is the source of this 45-nucleotide non-coding RNA. The record is from Rfam. Lineage: Eukaryota; Metazoa; Platyhelminthes; Trematoda; Strigeidida; Schistosomatidae.